CCUACGGGUGGCAGCAGUGGGGAAUAUUGGGCAAUGGGCGCAAGCCUGACCCAGCAAUGCCGCGUGAAGGAAGAAGGCUUUCGGGUUGUAAACUUCUUUGUCAGGGGAAGAGCAGAAGACGGUACCCUGAACCCACACCACGGCUAACUACGUGCCAGCAGCCGCGGUAAUACGUAGGUGGCAAGCGUUGUCCGGAUUUACUGGGUGUAAAGGGCGUGUAGCCGGGAAGGCAAGUCAGAUGGUAAAUCUGGAGGCUCAACCUCCAAAUUGCAUUUGAAACUGUUUUUCUUGAGUACGGGAGAGGCAGGCGGAAUGCGUGGUGUAGCGGUGAAAUGCGUAGAUAUAAGGAGGAACACCAGUGGCGAAGGCGGUGUGCUGGACAGCAACUGACGGUGAGGCGCGAAAGCGUGGGGAGCGAACAGGAUUAGAUACCCCUGUAGUC
Molecule: ribosomal RNA, 442 nt
Filed under: uncultured bacterium
Lineage: Bacteria
Description: partial 16S ribosomal RNA
Rfam family: Bacterial small subunit ribosomal RNA
Source: RNAcentral